This 497-nucleotide ribosomal RNA is filed under the name uncultured bacterium. RNAcentral describes it as "partial 16S ribosomal RNA". It matches the Rfam family "Bacterial small subunit ribosomal RNA", at positions 28 to 507 of the family's 1533-position model. The record is from RNAcentral.
GACGAACGCUGGCGGCGUGCCUAAUACAUGCAAGUAGAACGCUGAAGCUUGGUGCUUGCACCGAGCGGAUGAGUUGCGAACGGGUGAGUAACGCGUAGGUAACCUGCCUGGUAGCGGGGGAUAACUAUUGGAAACGAUAGCUAAUACCGCAUAACAGUAGAUAUCGCAUGAUAGCUACUUGAAAGGUGCAAAUGCACCACUACCAGAUGGACCUGCGUUGUAUUAGCUAGUUGGUGAGGUAACGGCUCACCAAGGCAACGAUACAUAGCCGACCUGAGAGGGUGAUCGGCCACACUGGGACUGAGACACGGCCCAGACUCCUACGGGAGGCAGCCGUAGGGAAUCUUCGGCAAUGGACGGAAGUCUGACCGAGCAACGCCGCGUGAGUGAAGAAGGUUUUCGGAUCGUAAAGCUCUGUUGUAAGAGAAGAACGAGUGUGAGAGUGGAAAGUUCACACUGUGACGGUAUCUAACCAGAAAGGGACGGCUAACUACGUG